Molecule: long non-coding RNA, 5481 nt
Filed under: Sus scrofa (pig)
Lineage: Eukaryota; Metazoa; Chordata; Mammalia; Artiodactyla; Suidae
Description: lncRNA (ENSSSCG00000051983.1)
Source: RNAcentral
UCCUCACAGAGACAAUGUCAGGUCCUUAACCCACUGAGCCACAAUGGAAACUCUCCAUUCUAAUUCUUAAAAUACAAACAUUAUUUCAUUCCAAUUGCUGUGUGCUAAACUCUAUAUUGAACCUGGGUCAUGUAUUUUCUUUUUUUUUUGGCUAAUAAAUGUUGGAAGGAUGGAUUCAUUUGUGAUCUCCUAUACAGCAGCAGUAAAUUAUUUAGCUGUCUCCCCUUUUCUUCUGUCAUUUACUAUUUCAUAGAAGCAGAUUGUUUCACUUAUUAUUAACCAUCUAUUUUAGAGUCUUUUGGGAAACAGCCUUGAAUCCAACUUUCCCAAUGUUUUAUUUCCUUGGCUAUAUCCUACCCUUGUUGUUAGAACACAUCUCUUACCACACCACUACUGCUUGAUUCUCCACUGACCUAAUUUAUUUUUCAAAUGUCCACUCCCUCUUAGUUCUCAGAGAUGCUCUUGGCCUUUAGUAAAUCCUUCAUUUUCUCCUGCCUCACUUGACCUUUUUUCUUGGCAUCCAUGCAUGAUUCUUUAUUCUUCAAUUCAAUUUGAGCACUAAAGCCCUGUAGCUAUUCCCUGCCUAACGGUUCCUUCAGAUUUCAGUAUAGACUAUAUAGUUUUUCUCUUGAUGCUAUUCUCUCCUGGCCCCUUUGCCUCCAAGAACUGUGACCUUGCUUAAGUAGGCCUUUUGUAAAGACAGUUUCCUCUAUUUCCUGAAAUAGUAUAGACUUUUCCUGCAGUUAUUUCACUUUUUACAAAGUAAUGAGCAAGGGAAUCAAGGUGUAAUAAACAUCUUUCACUAUAAUAAUAAAUUAUAGGACAAUUUAUUCUAACUGAUUAAUUUUGCAUUUAUAAUUUUCUUCUCUACAUAAGGCAAAUAAUGCUAGUGAUUUGAAAGUCUGCUUUGCCUUUCUGCCCUCACACAGCAGAGUACGCUCCCUUUUCUGUUCCUCACUGGGACAUAACGUUUCAAUGCUUUGUUUGCAAAAGGAUCAGUGACAUUUCAGUACAGAAUCACUCACCACCAUCUAAGCGAAAGCAACCCAGAGCAGAUUUUACCAAACUGUUGACCUUUACUCUCACUUUUCCCCUCUCUCUGAAUGAACUCUUCUUCCCCUUUGCCUAUGUGUCAUUUCCUCAAAUCCAAUGCUCUCAUGUAGCUAAGAUCACUCUGGAUAUGGCAAAAGAUAAAUCUGAUGUUUUAAUUUGUACUAAUAUGUUACUGACUUACAGUGUUACCUCUCACAAGAGAACCUGCUUGAGGAAGGUAAUAUUUAAUUCAAACAGAUUACCUUUCAUUGGGAAAUUCAGACCCCCUUAAAUGUUUUCAGAAGAACGGGAAGCAGAGGUGGCUGGCAAAUUAUACCAUGUUGGCGACUGAUUUUUGCAUCUUCACAUAGGCAAAUCUAGACCCAGAGCCCAGUAUGGAAAAGGUCUUAUUUCACUUUGUUUCUACAUAGACAUUCAUCUUCUAAGGGGCUCACAUCUUCUAUCAGGCAAAGACAGUCUGUUUCCCCUUGCUCAUUACCUCUCUACAAAAAUGAAAGUAGAGCCCAGUGACAAUCACUGGAUACCUUGAGCUUUAUGGAAUGUGGACAAUAAUCAACUCAAAAGAAUUAACUAACAUCGUUCCUAAUUAUUAACUCUGCCACACUUUGAUUGCUCAAUAAAUUUAGAAAGGUAUGAUUAAGUAGAAAUGGUAUGAAUUCCAGAUAGAUUAUAAUAAGGAUUUACAGGGUUUUUGCAAAACCCUUGCCUUUUGCAAAUAUUAAGAGGUGAAUUUACAUGCACUUCAGCCUGAAAGAAAAUGGUAUCUGUAGAGCCUCAGGAAUUAACAGUUUUAAAUUCUGGUUGGAUCCCAGGUGCUAGCUCUCCCAUACCGCUAUCUUUCUUUAAUAGAAAGUUGUAAGUUUCCAGAAUUCACAGGAGUCUAGUUGGCAUCUAUCCAAGACAAGAGUAUAGAAGAGAGGUAAUCAAUAUGCCCUAGCCUACCCUGCAAGGUUUAUUUUAAAGAUUGCUUUGAGUUAUGGUAAGGUCUUUGUGAAAUAGAUCAUCCUUACAGGGUAAAGCGGAUCCAUAGAGGUGUCCUGGAUAAGUCUUCAGGGAACCAGAGCAAAAUGUCAAGAAGCCCUCAAAAUCUCUGUUUUUAUUUUAUGAGGAGUAAAGGAUCGAUAGUAGUGAUUGGUAGAGCCCAGUUGAUGAAAAGGUCCAUAACAUGGGAGGAUGCUUCCAGCUGUGAUUGGCAGAGGGACCAGGUUGCAGCUUAGAGGCAAGAAUUAAAGUUGCAUAAGCAACAUGAGCUAAGUCCAAACACUGGGUAAUCUAGAAAUAGCCUUGUCAGAAAAGCCACGCUAGAGAGAAUUACAGAAAUCAAUUUUGGUUGCAAGCAAAGCCUUGUUUAAAAUUUCAUCUUGCUAGAUACUAACAACUAUGAGAGAUUUGCCAAUUCAAGAAAAUUGGAGGUAAAUGCUUUGGGACACUACUGUGUGAUUGACAUGGUUGAGUUUCAGGAGAGAAUAGUGCUGUCUUUACAAUGAGGUUGGGAAAAUCUUCACAUACUGCUCUAUCAUAGUAGCAGGUUUUACAAUCACUCUAAAUGUUACUAGUAGGUGAAAUAAAACUCCUUAUGAAAGUCUUUAUGAAGUGCUUACAUUUGUAAAUAUUUGUUAUCAGUUUACUUCACUAUUAACUCAUUUGCUCAGAAUGAAGAGUCCUCUUUUUAAGUCAAUCAGAGUCUGCGAUAGGUGAGAGUAAAUUCUGUGACAACUUGGUAGUGAUGAGAGCAGAUGGAAGCUAUUGGCAGUCCAUUUGACCCAUGAACCUGAUCAGAUAAAAUAUAUAUAAAGGUAGUCUGACUAAAGUAACUCCUCAUAAGCUCUGGAUUUUGAGGGAAAUUUCUUGGCUUUUUUGUUUUUACUCACUACAUCCCCUCUCUGCCUUCAAUGCUUAUGCUUAUUAUUCAACUUAUAAAUGCUUCACUUGAUCCUGCCAUUUCUUCUAAAUAUGAGACAAAUUCAUAACCAAGUCUGCUUUGAUUUCUGUUUCUUUAUCAUCAACGUAACCACUUAACUCCAUUGCAAUCUGGCCUUUAUCCCCAUAAUUCCAUUGCAACUAAAUUUUUCCUAUUUUAUCAAUAGUUUCUUCUACAUUGUACCCUUUCAAAUUCUGUAUGACAUUUAAUGUUUUGAUCACCUACUUCCCUUUUAAAAACUGGCUCUCAUCUAACCUCUGUAAUUGCUUUCUAUAUUCCUCAUUUAAAUCUUCUAGAGGUCUCCCUUUCCUCUCCAUCCUCCAGCUGUCAUUUAAGUUUUAGUCUUUGACCCUAUGCUAACAGCCUUCUGCUUUCUCUCUUUCACAGAGUUAUUGAGGCUUCAACCAUUAUUUUUAUCUUCCAAAUACUACAUGCCAGGUAACACCUCUCUUAUGCCUCUGCUAAUUAAUCUUUUAAAACUAUUGUUUUGCUCAUAUUGCUCUCCAUUUUAAGAGCAGCAAAAUGCCUGGAUUCUGAGACCCAACCUCCACACUUGACCUCUUCCAUGAAGCACGUCCCAACCAACUUUAUUUCAAUAAUAACAUUACCUUAGAAGCUUUCCUACCACCUUUCUAUGUGAAAACAAUCUAGAAUGUACUCUUCACUCUCCUUUAUUAUCUAGUCUAUCUAGAUCCUCAGUCUCAAAAAAUAACAUACUGUAUGAUUCUAUUCAUACAACAUUUUUCAAAAAGACAAAGCUAUAGUUACAGUGAACAGAUCAGUGGCUGCCAAAGGAAGGGGAGGAUGCGACUAUAAAGGGAUAGCACAGAGGGCUUUUGGCAACGAUGGAACUCCUCUGUUUCCUAAUGGUAGUAGUUGUUACAUAAAUCUAACCAUGUGUUAAAAUUCAUAGAACUUUACACCAAAAAAAGUCCAUUUUACUGUAUGAUCAUUUAAAAAAUAAAACUUAAAAAGAUUUAGCGAUACAAGUAACUUUUCGUCUCUUUUUCAUUUUGAAAGCUUUAGAAUAGAAAGGCUAUGAAAAGAGUAGGGCUGGUCUGUGGAUAAAGCUUUUAAAAAAUCAAAUAUAUCUUCUAGAUUAUGCAUGCCUCCAUGAUGAGAGCAUGGGCACAUGUGGAUUGGCCAUAAAUAUGAAGAGGAAGCAUAAAGUAAAUUAAGGUUUUACAGUCAGUGUCACUCAGCCAAUGUAGCAAAUAGGCAAAAGCUGGGCCUCUCAAAAUAUCUUCUCGUGUAUUGUAGCUAUGAGCGAAUAAGACAGUAAAAAGCUAAGGGCUAAGACACAGGCACAAAAUAUUAACUCUGAGGGUGAUGGAACUUGGAAGGCAUCUACCUCACAAUUCUUUCUUUCAACCCUAGGUCAUUAAUAACUGGUAAAUAGUCCAACUGCAUAUAGAUUCCAUAGUUUUUCUGUGUUUUCAUUUCCUAUCUUGAUGGAAACAAUUAUAUUUUUACACAAUCAAGGAACAAAUGUGACCUAUGUCAUAAUUUAUGCAGCUGACGGCAUGUAUUUUUGACAACAUUAUCAUGUUUCUGAGUUAUAAAAUUUCUCUCUUUCUGCAAUUUAGAAUGCAGUGAGGGGCAAAAGGGAAUAUAUUAUCUGUGACUUCAUUCUGGUGUUACAUUCAUAGCUAACUUCCCAAUUCUGGGUGAGCCUUACCAAAAUUUCUCAUUCUUUGGAAAGACUUUCCUAGUCUCAUAAUCUUCAUCAAUCAAAAGUUACCAUCUCAGGGACCACACCUUCUUUGCAGACAGCUAGGACUUCCAUAUAUGUUGUUAGGCACAAGUCUUUUGACUUAAGGCAUGAUAGAUACAUCAAAGCUAGAGGCAGUCCCUUUUGUCAAGGUUAUCUACAAUAACUUCUUUCAUUGCCAUUCACAGCUAGGGACUUUCUUAUUGAAAUGUAAUCAACACCACAAUAGCUUUGGUAAUCUCAAUGCUCUCAGUGAUCUCUUCUGAGGCUUUGAAGCACGCUCCUUUAGGACAACUGGAUCAAGCAUGCAUAACAAGUUUGUAUAACAUCUACUGCGAUGGCCCCAGGCUCUCUGUGUGACCUUUUAGAUAUUAAAUGAUGGACACCUGCCCAUUUCAUCCAAGCAUGCUAUUCAAGGUUUGAAAGCUUCCUUUCCAGGAACAAAAAAAAAAAAAGAAUUCAAGCAUAAACUCCUUUAUAGACACUGGAUUAAUAGAAGAAAGCUCUAAUACUUGCAAAAUACUUCAUUACAGGGCUUUGGCUGGAUCCCCAUGAUGUUAAAAAGCACCAGGGAAGCCCAGUGUAUCAUUUAUUACCUGUUCCCCUCUACUUCAAACAGUAUUACACAUUCAUAUGGGUACUUUCUCAAAACUAUUUUCUUAAAGAACUCUGUGUGUCAAGUAAGGAAGGCUUCCUUAAGUAAUUUUAGGCUCACCCUUUAGGGAGUUUUACAACCUAUGUUACCACUGGCAGGCUAUAUAACCCUUAUAGAGAAUUGUUUUUUGUAAACAUAAAG